UAAGCGACUAAGCGUACACGGUGGAUGCCCUGGCAGUCAGAGGCGAUGAAGGACGUGCUAAUCUGCGAAAAGCGCCGGCGAGGUGAUAUGAACCUUUGACCCGGCGAUGUCCGAAUGGGGAAACCCAGUGUGUUUCGACACACUAUCGUUAACUGAAUACAUAGGUUAACGAGGCGAACCGGGGGAACUGAAACAUCUAAGUACCCCGAGGAAAAGAAAUCAACCGAGAUUCCCCCAGUAGCGGCGAGCGAACGGGGAGCAGCCCGGAGUCUGAAUCAGUUUGUGUGUUAGUGGAACGGUCUGGAAAGUCCGACGGUACAGGGUGAUAGUCCCGUACACGAAAAUGCACAUGCUGUGAACUCGAAGAGUAGGGCGGGACACGUGGUAUCCUGUCUGAAUAUGGGGGGACCAUCCUCCAAGGCUAAAUACUCCUGACUGACCGAUAGUGAACCAGUACCGUGAGGGAAAGGCGAAAAGAACCCCGGCGAGGGGAGUGAAAAAGAACCUGAAACCGUGUACGUACAAGCAGUGGGAGCCUCUUUAUGGGGUGACUGCGUACCUUUUGUAUAAUGGGUCAGCGACUUAUAUUCUGUAGCAAGGUUAACCGUAUAGGGGAGCCGAAGGGAAACCGAGUCUUAACUGGGCGUUAAGUUGCAGGGUAUAGACCCGAAACCCGGUGAUCUAGCCAUGGGCAGGUUGAAGGUUGGGUAACACUAACUGGAGGACCGAACCGACUAAUGUUGAAAAAUUAGCGGAUGACCUGUGGCUGGGGGUGAAAGGCCAAUCAAACCGGGAGAUAGCUGGUUCUCCCCGAAAGCUAUUUAGGUAGCGCCUCGUGAACUCAUCUUCGGGGGUAGAGCACUGUUUCGGCUAGGGGGCCAUCCCGGCUUACCAACCCGAUGCAAACUACGAAUACCGAAGAAUGUUAUCACGGGAGACACACGGCGGGUGCUAACGUCCGUCGUGAAGAGGGAAACAACCCAGACCGCCAGCUAAGGUCCCAAAGUCAUGGUUAAGUGGGAAACGAUGUGGGAAGGCACAGACAGCCAGGAUGUUGGCUUAGAAGCAGCCAUCAUUUAAAGAAAGCGUAAUAGCUCACUGGUCGAGUCGGCCUGCGCGGAAGAUGUAACGGGGCUAAACCAUGCACCGAAGCUGCGGCAGCGACACUAUGUGUUGUUGGGUAGGGGAGCGUUCUGUAAGCCGUUGAAGGUGUGCUGUGAGGCAUGCUGGAGGUAUCAGAAGUGCGAAUGCUGACAUAAGUAACGAUAAAGCGGGUGAAAAGCCCGCUCGCCGGAAGACCAAGGGUUCCUGUCCAACGUUAAUCGGGGCAGGGUGAGUCGACCCCUAAGGCGAGGCCGAAAGGCGUAGUCGAUGGGAAACAGGUUAAUAUUCCUGUACUUGGUGUUACUGCGAAGGGGGGACGGAGAAGGCUAUGUCAGCCGGGCGACGGUUGUCCCGGUUUAAGCAUGUAGGCGGAGGUUCCAGGUAAAUCCGGUACCUUGUUAACGCUGAGGUGUGAUGACGAGGCACUACGGUGCUGAAGUGAUAAAUGCCCUGCUUCCAGGAAAAGCCUCUAAGCAUCAGGUAACACGAAAUCGUACCCCAAACCGACACAGGUGGUCAGGUAGAGAAUACCAAGGCGCUUGAGAGAACUCGGGUGAAGGAACUAGGCAAAAUGGUGCCGUAACUUCGGGAGAAGGCACGCUGAUAUGUAGGUGAAGCCCCUGCGGGCGGAGCUGAAAUCAGUCGAAGAUACCAGCUGGCUGCAACUGUUUAUUAAAAACACAGCACUGUGCAAACACGAAAGUGGACGUAUACGGUGUGACGCCUGCCCGGUGCCGGAAGGUUAAUUGAUGGGGUUAGCGGCAACGCGAAGCUCUUGAUCGAAGCCCCGGUAAACGGCGGCCGUAACUAUAACGGUCCUAAGGUAGCGAAAUUCCUUGUCGGGUAAGUUCCGACCUGCACGAAUGGCGUAAUGAUGGCCAGGCUGUCUCCACCCGAGACUCAGUGAAAUUGAACUCGCUGUGAAGAUGCAGUGUACCCGCGGCAAGACGGAAAGACCCCGUGAACCUUUACUAUAGCUUGACACUGAACACUGGUCCUUGAUGUGUAGGAUAGGUGGGAGGCUUUGAAGCGUG
RNAcentral lists this ribosomal RNA (2138 nucleotides) under Enterobacter hormaechei. Its description in RNAcentral is "partial 23S ribosomal RNA". It matches the Rfam family "Bacterial large subunit ribosomal RNA", at positions 1 to 2166 of the family's 2925-position model. Lineage: Bacteria; Pseudomonadati; Pseudomonadota; Gammaproteobacteria; Enterobacterales; Enterobacteriaceae. The record is from RNAcentral.